Molecule: long non-coding RNA, 975 nt
Filed under: Mus musculus (house mouse)
Lineage: Eukaryota; Metazoa; Chordata; Mammalia; Rodentia; Muridae
Description: RIKEN cDNA 4930506C21 gene (4930506C21Rik)
Source: RNAcentral
UUCCGCUUCCUUCAAGCAUGCGCACCUCCUUGCUCUUUAAUCUGCUGGGGCGGGCCUGAUUACGUCACUUCCGGCGCGCCCACGGGUGCCCGCAGGGGGCUGGUCUCCAAGACAAAGCUUGGAAGUUCCCAGGAUUAAGGAGUAUGGCUAUGCACGCUCAUGCACACUAUGGCUUGAGUUUGGAUGUACAGAACAAAAUUGGCAGGAAUCAGUUCUCUUCGCCUGUGGGGACAGGGAAGCAAAGGUCUCCAGACUUGGCACACGACUACUCAUGCUGACAUGAUCUGUGGCUGCAGCAGUGGCUGGAGCACUGUCUCUUUCAAGAGCUGGUCCUUGUACCGCUAUGCAGAUGGCCGCUUACUCAUCCUGGAAAUAAUUGGAGACAAUUUCAAUGAGACACAAAGUCUACCGCCAGUCCCAGAGGCUCUGCAUGGCUUUAGAAGACAAGUUUCUAUAACAUGGUUUUGUAACAAUGAUUUAUUUCACGCAUGAGUACUCUAUCUGCAUGUACAACUGCAUGCCAGAAGAGGGCAUCGAUCGGAUCCUAGUUGUAAGGCAACCAUGCAGUUGCUGGGAACUGAACUUGGGACCCCUGGAAGAGCAGCCAGUAUAAAGAGUUGAAACAGAGGCAAGCAGCAUGGUAUGAGGUCUCUCUACUUGGAAAGCCAUGGGAACAAGUGCCCUGCCAGCAGAACCACCUCAGUCUGCUCCUCUCUCUCCGCCUGGCCGCCACGGUCUGAGGUGACUAUUGUUAAGGAAGGAGUGCGGGCUCCUUUCUAACCACAGGAGAGUGUGGUCCACACAGAGGCAGGCAGGGUCCAAGAUGUGCGUCACCUACAGCUUACCAUCUACCGUGGGAGUCAUCUCUAACUCUAUGAAAGCAGAGAGUCCACAGUGCCCACAGUGGCUACAAUUUUCUUACCGUACUAUUUUGUGGAGUCACCAAGGUUCAGACAGAGGAGACAUGGAGGGAAU